Ixodes scapularis (black-legged tick) is the source of this 594-nucleotide long non-coding RNA. RefSeq lists it as uncharacterized. Lineage: Eukaryota; Metazoa; Arthropoda; Arachnida; Ixodida; Ixodidae. The record is from RefSeq and is a predicted model, not a curated record. The transcript has 3 exons.
GUGCCAGCAAACUUGGAAGGUGGUGUAUCCCCUCUCGUUCGGCCAACAUCAUCAGACCAGCCGAGCUGUCGAGAAUUCUGGACGAACUGUGUGUGAAGGGAUUCAAGGUUUUGGCGAAUAUCUUGGACGUCGCAAAAAGAGUUAUCGAAAAUGGAGGGAAACAAAACACCAGAACGCACGGCUCCACCUUCCACGACUCCCGUGAAGCUGGCUCGGAAAAUGCGGCGAUCAAAGAGGCGUAAAACGCCAAUCCAAUCUAGACGGGUGCCCAUAUUAAAAAAGAACAAUAAGACCACGCCACCAUCAAUGCCGGAAUCUCCAGAAUCGCCACCCAUCGUUCCGGAAUCUCCGGAAUCGCCACCCAUCGUUCCGGAAUCUCCGGAAUCGCCACCCAUCAUUCCGGAAUCUCCGGAAUCGCCACCCAUCGUUCCGGAAUCUCCGGAAUCGCCACCCAUCAUUCCGGAAUUUCCGGAAUCGCCACUCAUCAUUCCGGAAUCUCCAGAACCACCAACCAUCUUACCCGAAUCAGCAGAACAACCAACCGUAGACGCUGUUAUAAACGUACCAGAGGAUCCGACUACCUCAUCGUCGACA